RNAcentral lists this ribosomal RNA (423 nucleotides) under uncultured bacterium. RNAcentral describes it as "bacterial SSU rRNA". It matches the Rfam family "Bacterial small subunit ribosomal RNA", at positions 97 to 520 of the family's 1533-position model. The record is from RNAcentral.
GGCGAACGGGUGCGUAACACGUGAACAACCUGCCCUCGUGUGGGGGAUAGCCAUGCUAACGCGUGGGUAAUACCGCAUACGUUCCUCUGGGGGAGUCCCUGGGGGAGGAAAGCUCCGGCGCACGGGGAGGGGUUCGCGGCCUAUCAGCUAGUUGGCGGGGUAAUGGCCCACCAAGGCGACGACGGGUAGCUGGUCUGAGAGGAUGGCCAGCCACAUUGGGACUGAGAGACGGCCCAGACUCCAUACGGGAGGCAGCAGUGGGGAAUCUUGCGCAAUGGCCGAAAGGCUGACGCAGCGACGCCGCGUGUGGGAUGAAGCAUUUCGGUGUGUAAACCACUGUUGCCCGGGACGAACAGCCUGUUUCGACAGGCCUGACGGUACCGGGUGAGGAAGCACCGGCUAACUCCGUGCCAGCAGCCGCGG